Molecule: ribosomal RNA, 417 nt
Filed under: Triticum aestivum (bread wheat)
Lineage: Eukaryota; Viridiplantae; Streptophyta; Magnoliopsida; Poales; Poaceae
Description: partial small subunit ribosomal RNA
Source: RNAcentral
AUGCUCAAUGACAGAAUAAAUACAUGUGACCUAUUGACUAGGAAGAAUAUGCACCUUGACUCCACUAUGUGUGUCUUAUGCAAUGCUGAAGAUAUGGAAGACAAAACUCACCUUCUCUUUUCUUGCCCAUUUUGUCAAGGUUUUUGGUGGAAUAUUGGCUUUGAAUGGAACACAGAUAUGGAUAUCCAUGAUAUGAUAAUGGACGCUAAACAAAGAUACCACCUUACUUAUUUCAUGGAAAUUAUGAUUGUGGGCUACUGGUGCAUCUGGAAUCAAAGAAACGACUUGAUAUUUGAAGGAAUCCCUUGCUCAAUUUCUGAAUGCAGAUAUGACUUCAUCAGAACAUUCAAGCUAACCAUGCUGAGAGCCAAACCAAGUCUGAAGGAUGGCAUGUCAUCCUGGAUUGAUAAUAUUUAA